CCUACGGGUGGCAGCAGUAGGGAAUAUUGCUCAAUGGGGGAAACCCUGAAGCAGCAACGCCGCGUGGAGGAUGAAGGUUCUCGGAUUGUAAACUCCUUUUGUUAGAGAAGAUAAUGACGGUAUCUAACGAAUAAGCACCGUCUAACUCCGUUCCAGCAGCCGCGGUAAUACGGAGGGUGCAAGCGUUAUACGGAAUCACUGGGCGUAAAGCGCGCGUAGACGGGUUAGCAAGUCAGAUGUGAAAUCCUAUGGCUUAACCAUAGAACUGCAAUUGAAACUGUUAGUCUAGAGUAUAGGAGAGGUAGGUGGAAUUCUUGGUGUAGGGGUAAAAUCCGUAGAGAUCAAGAGGAAUACUCAUUGCGAAGGCAGCCUGCUAGAACGUAACUGACACUGAUGCGCGAAAGCGUGGGGAGCAAACAGGAUUAGAUACCCCUGUAGUC
This 440-nucleotide ribosomal RNA is filed under the name uncultured bacterium. Its description in RNAcentral is "partial 16S ribosomal RNA". It matches the Rfam family "Bacterial small subunit ribosomal RNA", at positions 338 to 795 of the family's 1533-position model. The record is from RNAcentral.